GUGCCAGCAGCCGCGGUAAUACGUAGGUGGCAAGCGUUAUCCGGAAUUAUUGGGCGUAAAGCGCGCGUAGGCGGUUUUUUAAGUCUGAUGUGAAAGCCCACGGCUCAACCGUGGAGGGUCAUUGGAAACUGGAAAACUUGAGUGCGGAAGAGGAAAGUGGAAUUCCAUGUGUAGCGGUGAAAUGCGCAGAGAUAUGGAGGAACACCAGUGGCGAAGGCGACUUUCUGGUCUGUAACUGACGCUGAUGUGCGAAAGCGUGGGGAUCAAACAGGAUUAGAUACCCUGGUAGUCAAGGGCG
Molecule: ribosomal RNA, 298 nt
Filed under: uncultured Staphylococcus sp.
Lineage: Bacteria; Bacillati; Bacillota; Bacilli; Caryophanales; Staphylococcaceae
Description: partial 16S ribosomal RNA
Rfam family: Bacterial small subunit ribosomal RNA
Source: RNAcentral